RNAcentral lists this long non-coding RNA (1560 nucleotides) under Mus musculus (house mouse). Its description in RNAcentral is "long non-coding RNA chr13:111809135-111810695". Lineage: Eukaryota; Metazoa; Chordata; Mammalia; Rodentia; Muridae. The record is from RNAcentral.
GGAGCGGCGGGCGGGCGCGCGGCGCAGGUGGGAGGGCAGGGGCAAUGCGGGGAACCGGGCGCCGGGCGUUGUGCGCUGCAACCAGGCCGCCGCCAGGUAGUGCGAGACCGGGCGGGGCAGCGGCUCGGCGGGAGCUCGCCCACCCUUGAGCAAGCAGUAAUCCGAGCGUGAGUCCCUGGUUCUGGAAGGGGACGCAAGCCGGAGGACUCACGGUCUGUCACUUCACGCGUUUAGUAGCGGUUGCUGGGGGGGCCCCCGCGCGCACCGGCCCGGCCCGCGCCCGAAGCGCAGGUGGCGCCCCGGGACUGUCGCCUGCCGCAGACGGGCGGACGCGAAGCCUUCUCUUAGGAAAGCAGACCUCUUGUCCCGCCCUCGUGUCACAAAUAACACUACUUAAGAUUUCUUGCGCUACCUUGUGCACCUCUGAAGCUGCUGGUUUGGGACACCCUCCCCCCCACUCCCCCGGCUACGCAGAGGGACCAACCCGGGUACUCUGCCAGAGGUUACUCCCCCGUCUUGGAAAGGCAGGCUCCAACCGAAAGCGGGAGAGCACGUCUGGGGAAGGAGCCAGCGCUAUGCCAGGAAGCGCUGGAUCAUGCCAUCUUCUACCAGGUCUCUCCCCACCCCCAACAGAUGCUCCCAGCUGCACGUCCCUCUUCCUGGCAGUCAGGUGACAGGCCGGUUCCCGGGUCCCCCACCUCCCUCCCGCCGCCGCUCCCUGGUUGCCCUGUGCGGCGUCCCUCGCCUUUCUCCUGCCCCAGAGUCUAGAAAAUGUGCUGGAGAUAGAAAAGCAGUAUACGUAUAUGGGAUUUCCCCCCUUCGACCCUUUUUCAACGGGAUAAAGCUGCCUUGUCGUCCCUAUCUCACCCGCCUCUGCCACUUUUUUUUCCCCUAGCCACUUUGUCUAGAAUAGACAAUCUCUCAGAACCCAGGAUUUCUAGAUUUAUUUUGUGAAACAUUAAGACAUGAGGCGUGGGGGGAGGGGUAAGAAGGGUUUUCAUCUUACAGAGAAAGGAAAGAUCUCUCCAGCAUUUAGACAAAAGCCUGAACUAGCUCAAAAUAAUUCAUUUAACCUCUCCAAAGUAGAUCAAAUGAAGCCCUCCUUAGGUGUGUAAUGUCAGCCAGAGAGCAAGGUGAGGCAAAAGGGAUUUUUAAAAAGGGAUCCUGACUUCAGCUUGAGCUCGGUGUUAUACUUACUGCUAUAACAUCUGGCACGCUACAGUUCUCAAUGGUUACAUUAAAAGGUACACGUUUUGAAAGUUUAGAUUAGUCUGUUCAAGAUUUAGGUCUACAUUUAGGCUAUAAUUAUAUGCUCUUUUAAUGGUAGACAAGCAUAACAUCCAAACCAAACAGUAGUUAUUUCCCAGGUCUUCCUAGAUUGCCACACCCACCAAAUCCUAAAUUGAAAAGGAUUAGCUUUUCUGGUUUCUACUGAGAUCUAAAAUAAACUUUAAAUUGGCGCACUCGUACUUAGGUACCUGUGAGAAAAGCCACUGCGGACCCUCAGCCUUUGUUUCCAUCUUUGGACCAGGUUUGGAAGUUUGGCCUGAAUAGCAAAGU